Molecule: ribosomal RNA, 441 nt
Filed under: uncultured bacterium
Lineage: Bacteria
Description: partial 16S ribosomal RNA
Rfam family: Bacterial small subunit ribosomal RNA
Source: RNAcentral
CCUACGGGAGGCAGCAGUGGGGAAUUUUGCACAAUGGGGGAAACCCUGACGCAGCGACGCCGCGUGAGUGAUGAAGUCCCUCGGGAUGUAAAGCUCUAUCAGUAGGGAAGAAAAUUGCGGUAACUGACUAAGGAGGCAUGGGCUAACUCCGUGCCAGCAGCCGCGGUAAUACGGAGGAGGCAAGCGUUUUCCGGAUUCAUUGGGUGUAAAGGGAGCGUAGAUGGCACGGCAAGUCUGGUGUGAAAUGCCGGGGCUCAACCUCUGAACGGCAUUGGAAACUGGCGGGCUGGAGUGCGGGAGGGGUAAGCGGAAUUCCUGGUGUAGCGGUGAAAUGCGUAGAUAUCAGGAGGAACACCGGUGGCGAAGGCGGCUUACUGGACCGUAACUGACAUUGAGGCUCGAAAGCGAGGGUAGCAAAUAGGAUUAGAUACCCUUGUAGUC